UACGAAGGGGGCUAGCGUUGCUCGGAAUCACUGGGCGUAAAGCGCACGUAGGCGGCUUUUUAAGUCAGGGGUGAAAUCCUGGAGCUCAACUCCAGAACUGCCUUCGAUACUGGAGAGCUCGAGUCCGGGAGAGGUGAGUGGAACUGCGAGUGUAGAGGUGAAAUUCGUAGAUAUUCGCAAGAACACCAGUGGCGAAGGCGGCUCACUGGCCCGGUACUGACGCUGAGGUGCGAAAGCGUGGGGAGCAAACAGG
Molecule: ribosomal RNA, 253 nt
Filed under: uncultured bacterium
Lineage: Bacteria
Description: partial 16S ribosomal RNA
Rfam family: Bacterial small subunit ribosomal RNA
Source: RNAcentral